RNAcentral lists this non-coding RNA (298 nucleotides) under Vibrio palustris. The record is from RNAcentral. Lineage: Bacteria; Pseudomonadati; Pseudomonadota; Gammaproteobacteria; Vibrionales; Vibrionaceae.
GCGCAAGGAUUCGAUGAUGUAGCAGGAUGGCUCAUCAGCAGGGAUUGAAUCAGGACGAUGUGCAGGAUGCUCGGACACCAUCAGGAUGAUGGCAAGGACACCGCUUACGGAACAAGUGAUGAACGCGUCUCAGGAUAGAGCACGCACGAAGGAAUCUUAGGACACCGCUAAGCUGGCGAUGUAGGGAUUAGGCAUAGGGAAACGCCACUAUUAUGGAUGAUGCAUGGAGCAACAUAAGCGGCCGGAAUGCUGCGAGUAAGGAUAAGGCCCCGAUACUUUUGUGUCGGGGCUUUUCUUG